UCAGAAAAUAGUUUAUUGUUAGAAUUCUGGCUUUGGGUGCCGGGGGUAGGAGUUAAAGUCUCUUUUUUCUGGC
This 73-nucleotide transfer RNA is filed under the name Caecobarbus geertsii. RNAcentral's name for it is "tRNA-Pro". It matches the Rfam family "tRNA". Rfam says of the family: Transfer RNA (tRNA) molecules are approximately 80 nucleotides in length. Lineage: Eukaryota; Metazoa; Chordata; Actinopteri; Cypriniformes; Cyprinidae. The record is from RNAcentral.